Molecule: long non-coding RNA, 927 nt
Organism: Mauremys reevesii (Reeves's turtle)
Lineage: Eukaryota; Metazoa; Chordata; Testudines; Geoemydidae
Exons: 2
Source: RefSeq, a predicted model, not a curated record
AUUAGUUUCUGCACAAGGUUUAAUAAAUGAUGACAGAACUCAAGUUCAUCUCCCUGCUGCCAUGACAGACUUUCUGAAUGUUGACCAGUGCAGUGCGACCUCCCGGAAUCUGCAGGCGGAGACAUUGCAGGUAGAAUCCAAAGCCACAGAAGAGCAUCAUCCUAUUCCUUAGAGAAUCCUCUUCAGUUAAUCAUAUUACAAAAGCAAACAGAACCAACUUUCACGAGGCUACCUGACCGGUGACUGAUAUGGUGACUGUGAAGAAGUGAGAAAACAUCUGUCCUGUGCUUUGGCAGAAAUACAGUCACUCGCCAAGUUCCUUGUGCCAUGGGCCCUGAGGGAGAUCAGUGUGGUCACCUCCCAAGUUUUCCAGCUCAGACACAUCUGCUUUGAGAAUGACAAAUUAAAAUAUCUUAAUUGAGCGGAGCCCGCUGCCGCCAGCCCACAUGGCCUGCAUGUGAGUUGUGGUAUUCUCAGGGUUUCAGCACAUUCCUCACAGGGCACAGGGAUAGCACUGUUUUAGAACUGACACAAGGAGGAGUUUCAGACGCCUUCCCAGGCAGCCAAGAGACUGCAGGAAAAAGACAAACUUCUGUGGGUUUCUGGAAAGUUUUAAAUUGCCCUUAGCGGUCCUCACAGUUUCCCAGUUGCAGUCUGGGAAGAAUGGCAAUGCGCUCCUAGCAUCUAAUGUGCCUCUGAGCUAAUGGGUUGUGUUAGAGCCAUUAGAUGAAUACAAGGGCUAUGGAAAACACCAAAAAACUUGCAUCAAUUUCCCUGGUUGCAGGUUGUGCAGCCUCCUUCUGAAAAUGCAGCCCACUGCGGCAAAACCAAUUCAGUGAUAUUGAAAGGGCUGUAACGCCUCGAAAAUGUCUCUUUCCAUUGCAGGAAACAUGCUUAGCAUCACAUUAAAUGGUCCUGACAGCUUGC